This 353-nucleotide transfer-messenger RNA is filed under the name Alphaproteobacteria bacterium. It matches the Rfam family "Alphaproteobacteria transfer-messenger RNA". From Rfam's summary of the family: Bacterial tmRNA, also known as 10Sa RNA or SsrA, is named for its dual tRNA and mRNA-like properties. Its role is to liberate the mRNA from a stalled ribosome. Lineage: Bacteria; Pseudomonadati; Pseudomonadota; Alphaproteobacteria. The record is from RNAcentral.
CCACUUUCAACGCUUGUCGGGAAUCCCUAUAUUGCGAGGGCCGGCUUGCCGGCUAUGGCGAUAAACGGUGCGUGGAAUAAACGUUGUGGACCCGGGGGCAGUGCCCGGCGCCUCCACCAUCAAUCAGAAGAUGGGUCGCUUUCCCUCCGGGGGGAUCGAUCCGCUUCGCGGCUCGAUGGGGGCGAAACAGGCUCGACACGCGUGGUAAAGACCCAUCUUUUGCCCGGCAUGGUUCCGCCGUUAUCGGGCCGUAUGACAAGUGCCAAUGACAAUCAUGAGGCGCUCGCGAUCGCUGCCUAAACAGCAGUGACACGCGCGGUUCGGGGGGCACCGGGCAACAGAAGCCCCCCACU